GGAAUCGAAGGUAAAACCCUAUUUCUCAACUCUAUAGCUUUACAACUCUCAUUUUUUAGGUUAACUACGGUAUUCCCGUUGAAACCCCCACCUGUUUGUGAUGCUAUUUGUCUUGAUAAUUGACCAAUUUGUGUCUCCAAAUUCUUGAUGGAUGCUUCAUGAUUCUUACUCAAUGUCUCAAAGUUACUUUAAGUCAUCUUCAUAAAUUGAGCCAUAGUUUUUCUAAUGGGGAAGGUUUCCUUGGUUGUUGCAUUGAGGAACCUAUGGAAUUUGUG
RNAcentral lists this long non-coding RNA (275 nucleotides) under Lathyrus oleraceus (garden pea). RNAcentral describes it as "Pisum sativum (pea) long non-coding RNA (PSAT_LNC007295)". The record is from RNAcentral. Lineage: Eukaryota; Viridiplantae; Streptophyta; Magnoliopsida; Fabales; Fabaceae.